Theropithecus gelada (gelada) is the source of this 96-nucleotide unclassified non-coding RNA. It matches the Rfam family "Y RNA". Rfam says of the family: Y RNAs are components of the Ro ribonucleoprotein particle (Ro RNP), in association with Ro60 and La proteins. The Y RNAs and Ro60 and La proteins are well conserved, but the function of the Ro RNP is not known. NCBI's taxonomy places the organism in Eukaryota, Metazoa, Chordata, Mammalia, Primates, Cercopithecidae. The record is from Ensembl.
AGCUGGUCUGAAGAUAGGCAUCUCAAUUGUUCACAGCCAUUUACAGAUCGAACUCCUCUUUCCCCCUUCUCACUACUGCACUUGACUAGACUUUUU